UCCCUGGAGGACUAGUGGUUAGACCACGGUGCUCUCACCACCGCGGCCUGGGCUCGAAUCCCAGCCAGAGAA
RNAcentral lists this transfer RNA (72 nucleotides) under Pangasianodon gigas (Mekong giant catfish). RNAcentral describes it as "tRNA-Glu". It matches the Rfam family "tRNA". From Rfam's summary of the family: Transfer RNA (tRNA) molecules are approximately 80 nucleotides in length. Lineage: Eukaryota; Metazoa; Chordata; Actinopteri; Siluriformes; Pangasiidae. The record is from RNAcentral.